Molecule: ribosomal RNA, 597 nt
Filed under: Triticum aestivum (bread wheat)
Lineage: Eukaryota; Viridiplantae; Streptophyta; Magnoliopsida; Poales; Poaceae
Description: partial small subunit ribosomal RNA
Source: RNAcentral
AUGAAGCACCGGAGCGUCAAGCAACGGAGAGUUUGGUACAACCCUCGAACGAUGGCCCUGUUUCUCUGCCCCAAGGAUCAUCAUGACAUGCCCGACGGCACCACCCUUGGGUUCCACACAUUCUCCUGCGAAGAGGAUCAGAUGCCGUCCCGUGUGGUAUGUGUCCAUCACGACUACUCACGGCCUUGCGCACUGGUCGCUGUCUUCUCAUCGGACACCAUGGAGUGGCAAAUCUUCCCGGAGAGUGCGACGCCGCUGCCUCAUGGCUUCAGGAGCACAACCUGCACCGUGCUGGAUGGGUUUAUAUGUUGGCAAUGCGUGUCCAUGAGCGGGAUGAUUGUCAGCCAGUACAUUUUCGUGCUCAACACAGACACAUUUCAGUUCUACCGGAUGGAUCUGCCGCCGCCCUUGAGAGUGAUACCCCAAACAUUUAAGAUUGGUCAGACCAAUGAUGGGAGGCUCUGUAUUGUGAAUGAGAAGGAAUGCACAUUUAGUAUUUGGAUCUCAACAACCGGCGAUGAUGGCAUCGAGAGAUUUGUGCUGGACAAGAUGUUCCCGUUGCAGGCUAGCGUUAUGGGGUCAUCAGUUGUUCAGUGA